Molecule: ribosomal RNA, 468 nt
Filed under: uncultured bacterium
Lineage: Bacteria
Description: partial 16S ribosomal RNA
Rfam family: Bacterial small subunit ribosomal RNA
Source: RNAcentral
GACGAACGCUGGCGGCGUGCUUAACACAUGCAAGUCGAACGGAAAGGCCCUGCUUUUGUGGGGUGCUCGAGUGGCGAAAGGGUGAGUAACACGUGAGUAACCUGCCCUUGACUUUGGGAUAACUUCAGGAAACUGGGGCUAAUACCGGAUAGGAGCUCCUGCUGCAUGGUGGGGGUUGGAAAGUUUCGGCGGUUGGGGAUGGACUCGCGGCUUAUCAGCUUGUUGGUGGGGUAGUGGCUUACCAAGGCGUUGGCGGGUAGCCGGCCGGGUGGGGGGAGCGGCAACACUGGGACGGAGAGACGGCGAAGCCGCCUACGGGAGGCAGCAGUGGGGAAUAGGGCACAAUGGGCUCAAGCCUGACGCAGCAACGCCGCGUGAGGGACGACGGCCGGCGGGGUGGAAACCGCUUUUAGCAGGGAAGAAGCGAAAGGGACGGGAGCGGCAGAAAAAGCACAGGCGAACGACGUG